GAUGAACGCUGGCGGCGUGCUUAACGCAUGCAAGUCGAACGGGAUCCAAGGGGUGCUUGCACUUUUUGGUGAGAGUGGCGAACGGGUGAGUAACACGUGAGUAACCUGUCCUUUUCUUUGGGAUAAGCAUUCGAAAGGGUGUUUAAUACCUUAUGUUCUGUCUGCCUCGCAUGGGGUGGGUGGGAAAGGCUUUGGCCGGAUUUGGGUGGGCUCGCGGUCUAUCAGCUUGUUGGUGGGGUGAUGGCUUACCAAGGCUUUGACGGGUAGCCGGCCUGAGAGGGUGGUCGGUCACAUUGGGACUGAGAUACGGCCCAGACUCCUGCGGGAGGCAGCAGUGGGGGAUAUUGCACAAUGGGCGAAAGCCUGAUGCAGCGACGCCGCGUGGGGGAUGAAGGCCUGCGGGUUGUAAACUUCUUUUGCUCUGAACAAGGCAUGCCAGUGGGUGUGUUGAGUGUAGGGGUGGAUUAGCGCCGGCUAACUACGUG
RNAcentral lists this ribosomal RNA (485 nucleotides) under uncultured bacterium. RNAcentral's name for it is "partial 16S ribosomal RNA". It matches the Rfam family "Bacterial small subunit ribosomal RNA", at positions 28 to 507 of the family's 1533-position model. The record is from RNAcentral.